Molecule: long non-coding RNA, 592 nt
Organism: Armigeres subalbatus
Lineage: Eukaryota; Metazoa; Arthropoda; Insecta; Diptera; Culicidae
Exons: 3
Source: RefSeq, a predicted model, not a curated record
CAGCUCGAAACGAUCUGUCAAAACCGAAAAUAAAAACCGCGAAAAAUGUUCCUGUUUCAAAAAAUUUUGCGACAAAAGACAGCAUAAAGGUGCCAGUCUGCUGACCAUAUAGCAUCCGAAAACUCAUAAGCAUGUUCCUGGAGGAAGUUUUUUCUGAGAUAGAUUGGCAUUGGUAUGUUUUAAUAGCAGAAACACGCAGGUCAAAACACCGAAGAAGCUGCCUUUGCUUGAUCGAAACAGAUGCGCCGAAUGACGAUCCAGGUGCUGCAAAAAUCGAGAGAACUCGAAAAUUUUAAUCUGUCCGCUCGUUGGGUCAAAUUAAGUGCCUUGGACGUCCCAUAUGUUGAGUCGAUACCGAAGAAGCAACAUCGCUAAACUGUGCAGCAAUGGUGCCUUCUGGAGUCGGGAGAAUGCAUUCCAAAGCGGAGGCACACCACUGUUAUAUUGCUGCGACAUUCGGAAAAGCUGCUCCAAAUCAUCAACACAGCGGAUGGAAGCGAUGCCUGUCGGCUUGUUCAGAUUCAUCGAACCCAUUAAAAAUAAAUGAAAAUAGAGAAUAAAUAGAAACAAAAUAAUUAAUCAUAAAUAUGUU